RNAcentral lists this small nuclear RNA (119 nucleotides) under Sorghum bicolor (sorghum). RNAcentral describes it as "snRNA U5". It matches the Rfam family "U5 spliceosomal RNA". From Rfam's summary of the family: U5 RNA is a component of both types of known spliceosome. The precise function of this molecule is unknown, though it is known that the 5' loop is required for splice site selection and p220 binding, and that both the 3' stem-loop and the Sm site are important for Sm protein binding and cap methylation. Lineage: Eukaryota; Viridiplantae; Streptophyta; Magnoliopsida; Poales; Poaceae. The record is from Rfam by way of RNAcentral.
AGCUGCGCAGUGGACACAGAGCGAACUAAUCUUUCGCCUUUUACUAAAGAUUACCGUGUGUCCGCUGCAAUAAGCAGCAUACGCCAAUUUUUUGAGGGUUCCUUCUCCUUGGGAAGGGU